Mauremys mutica (yellowpond turtle) is the source of this 1554-nucleotide long non-coding RNA. RefSeq lists it as uncharacterized. The transcript has 3 exons. Lineage: Eukaryota; Metazoa; Chordata; Testudines; Geoemydidae. The record is from RefSeq and is a predicted model, not a curated record.
ACCCCCACCCCACUCUGCCUGAGACGCUUCUCUGAAGGCUAGCUGCGGUGGAGGAGAAGUGGUGCCUUCCGGAUACAGCCACUUCACACUGGUAAAUUAAUUAAAGAUCAAAAGGCAAGAGAAGCAUCUUUGCUAAGGUCCUUUGGAUGACUCCAAUUCCUGCACACAGGUGUCCAGCUCUACGCCUGGAGGGGUCCAAGACAGAGCUUGACUGCCUAAUCUAUAAAUCAAGAGUAGGUGUGCAGAGCUCCCCAGGAUCAUGUUCUGAGUCCGAUCUGAUAGGUCAAAUGCAGCCUCUGCACAACCACGGAGGGAAUUGCUAACAGAAAUGGAACCUGUUUCAGUUGUGGAGGGGCCUGGCGAGGAGUCCGGCUCAUCCAUCUGGUCCUCAGUGCCGUGUGAUCUUUUUUUCCCCUGGGUGGCUCGGCAUCCCCUAUGCAAUGAAGGGUGACUCCACAACUGCAAGGGCAGCACGAGCUUCACUGACCACAAUGGUAGAUGUAGCUGGGACUUUUUUAUUUAUUUAUUUGUGGGGAAGGUGACUGCAACCCUCUCUUGUUGAAAUCUUAAAGUGAGGGGUUUAUUUGUCUUUUACCACAGUGUAGAUGUACCCAUGGCACCGUGCCCUGCUAGCUGGAUAUCUUGGUAGAUACCCAGCCAAACAAUGGACAUUCAAAGGUUGACUUUAUAUUUCAGGGGUGGGGGCAGGAACAGUGUUCUGAUGACUCCAGCAUAGCUUUUUAUGAUUUAUAUUGACAACAGCAACCCUCAAUAGGAGCACAGCCCCAGACAGCUCAGUAAAGUGUCAUUUACUUUCUGCAAAAUACACCAAUACUUGUUUUCACCAGCCUGCUAGCCAGCAGGCUCAAGUAUCUCAUAAUGCAUGCAUGUGAUGUCACCUCGUUCCAGUGAAAUGACGAGGCUCCGAGCAGCAAGAGACUGAAAAACAGCAAGUAUGUUUAAUAGGCAACCAAGGACCCGGCUGAGUUGGGUAUCUUUGUCAACAGACUUCUCCCCACGGCAACAAAGACUUGGCUGCCAAAAAAAGUCACAACAAAUGAAGCGAGGGUGAUAUUUAUAGAGCUGCAGGAGAGCAGGACUAUGGGACCCAGGGAAAAGAACUGGGGUUUACAUGUGCUUUUUAAAAUCAGAUAGGGGGAAACUUAAACAUCCUGCAAAAUGCCAUCUCUUAUUACAUCCAGGCGUUGGCUCCUAUUUAAAAUCAAGCAUGUUUUGAGUUGUGGGCCUAUAAUUCGAUCUUUGGGUGAGUUAAAGAGGACUUCUAACACCCUUGAACUUUGGUUCUUGUCCCAUUGACUUCAGGAACUUGUCUUUUGUCAUUCUGCCCUACAUAAGAAUACUAGGACAGAGCCUGGCGUGGAAGCUGGUGAGCCAGUUCCCCGUGGGAAAGUCCCCUCUGCUGUUUUGGGUGAUACGCACAAAAGCACCAGAUUCCAAACUGAAGUCGUGACUAUUCCCCUUCAUAUGGUACUGCUGAAACAUGGGUAAACUUUCCUUAACGUGUCUCCACUGCAUGCCCCUGCAAUGCCUAGC